Molecule: ribosomal RNA, 152 nt
Filed under: uncultured Nitrosomonas sp.
Lineage: Bacteria; Pseudomonadati; Pseudomonadota; Betaproteobacteria; Nitrosomonadales; Nitrosomonadaceae
Description: partial 16S ribosomal RNA
Rfam family: Bacterial small subunit ribosomal RNA
Source: RNAcentral
CCUACGGGAGGCAGCAGUGGGGAAUUUUGGACAAUGGGCGCAAGCCUGAUCCAGCCAUGCCGCGUGAGUGAAGAAGGCCUUCGGGUUGUAAAGCUCUUUCAGUUGGGAAGAAAUGAUUGCAACUAAUAAUUCUAAUUAAUGCCGGUUCCGAC